GCGGGGAUAGCUCAGUUGGGAGAGCGUCAGACUGAAGUCAAACUUCAAGUCUCAUGACAUCUGAAGGUCGUGCGUUCGAUCCGCACUCACCGCA
RNAcentral lists this transfer RNA (94 nucleotides) under Hypoxylon rubiginosum. Its description in RNAcentral is "tRNA-Phe". It matches the Rfam family "tRNA". Rfam says of the family: Transfer RNA (tRNA) molecules are approximately 80 nucleotides in length. The record is from RNAcentral. Lineage: Eukaryota; Fungi; Ascomycota; Sordariomycetes; Xylariales; Hypoxylaceae.